GACGAACGCUGGCGGCGUGCUUAACACAUGCAAGUCGAGCGGUAAGGCCCUUUCGGGGGUACACGAGCGGCGAACGGGUGAGUAACACGUGGGUGACCUGCCCUCAGCUCUGGGAUAAGCCUGGGAAACCGGGUCUAAUACUGGAUAUGACUCCAUGACGCAUGUUGUGGGGUGGAAAGCCUUGUGCGGCUGAGGAUGGGCCCGCGGCCUAUCAGCUUGUUGGUGGGGUGANCGGCCUACCAAGGCGACGACGGGUAGCCGGCCUGAGAGGGCGA
RNAcentral lists this ribosomal RNA (275 nucleotides) under uncultured bacterium. Its description in RNAcentral is "partial 16S ribosomal RNA". It matches the Rfam family "Bacterial small subunit ribosomal RNA", at positions 28 to 303 of the family's 1533-position model. The record is from RNAcentral.